UACGGAGGAUGCGAGCGUUAUCCGGAAUGAUUGGGCGUAAAGGGUGCGUAGGCGGCCUGCUAAGUCUGGAGUGAAAGCCCGGGGCCCAACCCCGGGACUGCUUUGGAAACUGCCAUGCUGGAGUGCUGGAGAGGUAAGCGGAAUUCCUAGUGUAGCGGUGAAAUGCGUAGAUAUUAGGAGGAACACCAGUGGCGAAGGCGGCUUACUGGACAGUAACUGACGUUGAGGCUCGAAAGCGUGGGGAGCAAACAGG
This 253-nucleotide ribosomal RNA is filed under the name uncultured Eubacteriales bacterium. Its description in RNAcentral is "uncultured Clostridiales bacterium partial 16S ribosomal RNA". It matches the Rfam family "Bacterial small subunit ribosomal RNA", at positions 524 to 776 of the family's 1533-position model. Lineage: Bacteria; Bacillati; Bacillota; Clostridia; Eubacteriales. The record is from RNAcentral.